This 949-nucleotide ribosomal RNA is filed under the name Rhizobium sp. YM-Ar-6-2. Its description in RNAcentral is "partial 16S ribosomal RNA". It matches the Rfam family "Bacterial small subunit ribosomal RNA", at positions 38 to 985 of the family's 1533-position model. The record is from RNAcentral. Lineage: Bacteria; Pseudomonadati; Pseudomonadota; Alphaproteobacteria; Hyphomicrobiales; Rhizobiaceae.
GGCGGCAACUUACACAUGCAAGUCGAGCGCCCCGCAAGGGGAGCGGCAGACGGGUGAGUAACGCGUGGGAAUCUACCCUUGACUACGGAAUAACGCAGGGAAACUUGUGCUAAUACCGUAUGUGUCCUUCGGGAGAAAGAUUUAUCGGUCAAGGAUGAGCCCGCGUUGGAUUAGCUAGUUGGUGGGGUAAAGGCCUACCAAGGCGACGAUCCAUAGCUGGUCUGAGAGGAUGAUCAGCCACAUUGGGACUGAGACACGGCCCAAACUCCUACGGGAGGCAGCAGUGGGGAAUAUUGGACAAUGGGCGCAAGCCUGAUCCAGCCAUGCCGCGUGAGUGAUGAAGGCCCUAGGGUUGUAAAGCUCUUUCACCGGAGAAGAUAAUGACGGUAUCCGGAGAAGAAGCCCCGGCUAACUUCGUGCCAGCAGCCGCGGUAAUACGAAGGGGGCUAGCGUUGUUCGGAAUUACUGGGCGUAAAAGCGCACGUAGGCCGGAAUCGAUCAGUCAGGGGUGAAAAUCCCCAGGGCUCAACCCUGGAACUGCCUUUGAUACUGUCGAUCUGGAGUAUGGAAAGAAGGUGAGUGGAAAUUCCGAGGUGUAGAGGUGAAAUUCGUAAAUUUUCGGGAGGAACACCAGUUGGGGAAGGCGGGCUCACUGGUCCAUUAACUGACGCUUAGGGUGCAAAAACCGUGGGGGAGCAAAACAGGGAAUUAAGAUACCCUGGUAAUCCCACCCCCGUAAAACAAUUGAAAUGGUUAGCCGUUCGGGGCAAGUAAAACUGGUUCGGGGGGCCCAGCCUUAAAGGCAUUUAAAAAAUUUCCCCCUUGGGGGGGUAACGGGUCCCAAGAAUAAAAAUUCAAAGGGAAUUGACCGGGGGCCCCCCCCCAAACGGGGGGAACCAUGGGGUUUAAUUUGAAAGCAACCCGCGAAAACCUUAAACCGCCCCUUGAA